RNAcentral lists this ribosomal RNA (253 nucleotides) under uncultured bacterium. RNAcentral describes it as "partial 16S ribosomal RNA". It matches the Rfam family "Bacterial small subunit ribosomal RNA", at positions 524 to 776 of the family's 1533-position model. The record is from RNAcentral.
UACGUAGGGUGCAAGCGUUAAUCGGAAUUACUGGGCGUAAAGCGUGCGCAGGCGGUUUUGUAAGUCUGACGUGAAAUCCCCGGGCUCAACCUGGGAAUUGCGUUGGAGACUGCAUAGCUGGAGUACGGCAGAGGGGGAUGGAAUUCCGCGUGUAGCAGUGAAAUGCGUAGAUAUGCGGAGGAACACCGAUGGCGAAGGCAGUCCCCUGGGCCUGUACUGACGCUCAUGCACGAAAGCGUGGGGAGCAAACAGG